GAUGAACGCUGGCGGCAUGCCUAAUACAUGCAAGUCGAGCGAACGUACGAUAAGCUUGCUUCUCUGAUGUUAGCCGCGGACGGGUGAGUAACACGUGGAUAACCUACCUAUAAGACUGGGAUAACUUCAGGAAACCUUAGCUAAUACCGGCUAAUAUUUUUAACCACAUCUUUCAAAAGUGAAAGACGGUCUUGCUGUCCCUUAUAGAGGUAGCCGCGCUGCGUUAGCUAGUUGGUAAGGUAACGGCUUACCAAGGCAACGAUGCAGAGCAGAACUGAGAGGGUGAUCGGCCACACUGGAAGGGAGAAAGGGUACAGACGCACACGGGAGGCAGCAGUAGGGAAUCGGGCGCAAGGGGCGAAAGCCAGAGGGAGCAACGCCGAGUGAGUGAUGAAGGUAUUCGGAGUGUAAAACUCUGUUAUUAGGGAAGAAAAUAUGUGUAAGUAACGGAGAACAAAUUGACGGUACCAAAUGAGAAAGCGACGGCUAAAUACGUG
This 497-nucleotide ribosomal RNA is filed under the name uncultured bacterium. RNAcentral's name for it is "partial 16S ribosomal RNA". It matches the Rfam family "Bacterial small subunit ribosomal RNA", at positions 28 to 507 of the family's 1533-position model. The record is from RNAcentral.